UACAGAGGUCUCAAGCGUUGUUCGGAUUCAUUGGGCGUAAAGGGUGCGUAGGCGGCGCGGUAAGUCGGGUGUGAAAUCUCGGAGCUUAACUCCGAAACUGCAUUCGAUACUGAGAGUCUCGAGUCCGGGAGAGGUGAGUGGAACUGCGAGUGUAGAGGUGAAAUUCGUAGAUAUUCGCAAGAACACCAGUGGCGAAGGCGGCUCACUGGCCCGGUACUGACGCUGAGGUGCGAAAGCGUGGGGAGCAAACAGG
Molecule: ribosomal RNA, 253 nt
Filed under: uncultured bacterium
Lineage: Bacteria
Description: partial 16S ribosomal RNA
Rfam family: Bacterial small subunit ribosomal RNA
Source: RNAcentral